GACGAACGCUGGCGGCGUGCUUAACACAUGCAAGUCGAACGGUAAGGCCCUUCGGGGUACACGAGUGGCGAACGGGUGAGUAACACGUGGGUGAUCUGCCCUGCACUUCGGGAUAAGCCUGGGAAACUGGGUCUAAUACCGGAUAGGACCACUGCCUGCAUGGGUGGUGGUGGAAAGCUUUUGCGGUGUGGGAUGGGCCCGCGGCCUAUCAGCUUGUUGGUGGGGUGAUGGCCUACCAAGGCGACGACGGGUAGCCGGCCUGAGAGGGUGACCGGCCAGGCUGGGACUGAGGUACGGCCCAGACACCUACGGGAGGCAGCAGUGGGGAGUAUUGCACAAUGGGCGCAAGCCUGUUGCAGCGACGCCGCGUGAGGGAUGGCGGCCUGCGGGUUGUAAACCUCUUUCAGCACCGACGGAGCGCAAGUGACGGUAGGUGCAGAAGAAGGACCGGCCAACUACGUGCCAGCCGCCGCCGUAA
This 478-nucleotide ribosomal RNA is filed under the name uncultured bacterium. RNAcentral's name for it is "partial 16S ribosomal RNA". It matches the Rfam family "Bacterial small subunit ribosomal RNA", at positions 28 to 523 of the family's 1533-position model. The record is from RNAcentral.